UGAGUGGGGCUUGAACCUGCAACCCUCUGGUUACGUGGUGGGUACUUAACUUCUCUGUGACAUUCAUCCAUAACAAGCAAGGAGAAAGACAGCAUGUAUCCAAAAAGGUCUGAUUAUGUUCUGUUCUGUUUGCCUCAGCCUUGGAGGCGUCACAGAUGAUGUAUAAUUUAAGCUCUAAAAUCUUCAUCAGACAAAACAACGCCUGAUAAAUUAAACAGGGUCACAUGAUUUGAGCCUCAAAUGCUGUGGCUACAUAAUUACUAUGAUAAUGAUCCACGUUAUGGAUUCUGUACUUUUAGGCAUGAAUGUUAAUUUUUCCUAGUUUUAAUUUUAGCUGAUCACAUAAAACAAAGACAACAAAAGGGGGGGAAAGGGCAGAUCAAACAAGUAGAAUUAGCCAAAUAACAGAAUAAUAUUGCAUCUGAAGUGGCUUUAUUUGUUUUUCCAUUUUCAGAAGAUUUUUCAAUCUUUUGUUUUUGUUUCUACAGUCAUCUGUAGUUGUCUUCCUGUGCCAGUGUCAUGACCCACCGAAGCCAAGCUGCACACAAGGAGGGAUUUGUUCACACGCCUUGGCGAGGUGCUUAACAAGGGGACUUCACGCAGUUCAGUAGGACCUUUUAAAGGCUCCUGAGGGGAUAUCUGCCUCCUGAGAAACUGUACCGAGAAGCCGAGGCUCAAACAAAAGGGAUCAGCAAAGCCACACCAAAGUGAACAAUGCUUCUUUGGAGAACCAGAACACAUCAGGACUCCGGCAUGGGAGGCAGGAACAAAAGGACAUGAAACUGGAAGUGAGGAAAAACAUCUCCGCGAGAGAAAUUUGGACGAGGGGAAAGACGAUGCAAAGGAACUGAGGAGGAGAUGGAAGAUAUUGAAGCGGGGGGAAAUGGGCAGAUUUUAAUGAGGGGAACAGAGAGGCUAAAAAUGAAUGCAAAAUAUUGAAUUUAAUAGAAUGUAAUGAAACCCUGGAAGUAAAUAACAUGGUCGCUGGAUAUGUUGCUGUUUUUGCUGCAUCUGGCCAGACACUUCACUGUUUCAUUAGUACAUUUGCACCAGUCACUCUUCAUGCGACAGACUCAAAAAGGUGGAUACAUGUAUUAAUGUCCCUGCAGAAGACCAGAGAGCAUUUCAGUCUCCUCCACUGACUUAAAAAGUCUACAUCCUCACCAGAACUUCCAACAUGAGUGGCUUUAGCCUCUUGCGGUUUCAAAUCUAGUUUGUUGUCCUUUUAGGCACCUUUUCUUCCUCGUCACCGUUUUCUUUGCAGCCAUGAUGGAAAACAAAACGUUUGGGUCAUUUUUCUUUAUUCUACGUCACAAAACCCUUUUUAUUUUGUUCAAAUUCAAUAUGAUGAUAAUUUAUCCACUGCAUCACACAGUGGUCAGCCAUAUCUCGAUCUUGAUGUUUGAGAAAACACACAUACACACACACACACACGCUACAAAUGUAGAAUAAUCUCAGUGAACCUUCAACUGAACCAUGUUCAGCGCUUUGGGCUUCCUGACAGGGUUGCGGAAGGCGCUUUAUAAAUAAAGCUUUGAUUGAUUGAUUGAUUGAUUGAUUGAUUGAUUGAUUGUGUUUCUGCUGAUCUGAGCUGUACUGUGUCUGAGGGGUGGUAUAGGAUGAAAAACGAACACAUGCACACUAUUGUGUUCUGUUUACCAGGGAGUCAAUAAUACUGUCAGUUAUUAACAAAACAGAUUGCACUGUUAAUCUUCUCACAUAUCAACAUUAUUAGUAAUCAAGAUGGAAAAAUGAUACCUCCAAAGCUGGUGAAGAUAAAAGGAAACCCUAAAACAUCACAGGACAAGAUGAGCAAGAGGAGGAACUGCAUAAAAAGUAAUAAAGUCAGCAAUGAGGAAAAAUAAGUGUGAAGAACUGAAAGAGAAAAGAAAUAGUGGAAGGAGGAUAACAAGAAACUAGAGGCAGAAAAGAAAUGAUGCAUGCUGAGGGGGAAAAUGGGAAAGAGUAAAUAAGUCGACAUGAAAAAAGGAGGAGGUAAAGAAAAAAAUGAAUGAAAAAAUGCAGCAAAACAUGAAGGCAAAGAAUUAGGAGCUGCAGGGGCUCUGUAAAAAGAAAAAAGUGGUAAUGCCUCUCAUUUUUCAAGUGUUUUGACAGCUAAAGACAGACAAAGGAAGCAGAAAAAAGAAGGAAAAGUAGAGUCCCUUGAUCUGGUUACACAAGAAGUUUAACGGGGUCAGAAAGGUAGAGGAGGAUCAGGAUGGACUACAGUAGCUUCUCUUUUAUCGUCCCUUAUAGACUUGCUAAACACCUCUCCCUUCUCUUUUCAUCAUUUGCCACUUCCUUAUUACUGCCGUAGCUUUUCCAACCUAAUCAAAUUUUCUAACCUCUAAUUUUAUUUUUUUCAGGGCAGAGCGAUUGCUGAGAAAUUAGUCCGGCAGCCUCACAGAAGUCCUUUCACUUCUGAGUGUUUCUGUAUGGAGUUUGUUUUAACCACUCACAUUAAUUUUCAAACCACAAAAAAUAUGAUUUUAUGUAGAAAUGCAAAAGAACAAAAAAGCUAUUUGGCAACUGGACGGUCUAAAAAUGAAAGAAAAAUGUUGUAUCCAUGCAUCCUCUGUGAUGCUUGCUCCUCAGUAGGGUCACGGGGAUUGAUGAACACAAAUACAAUAGCCCCACAGAUGAUUUGUUUAUUUUGCAUAACAAAUUCACACCUUUUUGUAUGAAAACAUGAAAAUGUUACUUUCGUGAAAGAAAUCACUGCAUAUUUGAUCUGCUCAAAGCUUGGAGAUUUUAAUGGUUUACUAAGAAACAUAUUAUUGAAAUAUAAUUGGUCACUCUGAAUUUAAAAUGCAGGCUGAAUGUGAAAAUAGUCUUCUAAAGUAACUUUUGACGCUUGUCAAAAAUAAGCACUUACUUGGCAUCAGAAUGUCAGCAGCUCUGUGUCAACGUUAUAAAAGCAACGAGCGUCUCGGCCACGCCUUGUGGUGAGUUGGGAGUUGGAUUUGCAAGCGAGUGUAGGAGGCUAGCCGUAGUUCAGCAUUAGCAUAUAGCAUUAGCAUAUCCUAGUCUUUAGCAUAGCUUUUAGUGUUAUACAUACUUAUUUAGUGUUAGCUUGGCUGUUGGAUAUUGUAGUUUAGUUAGUGUUUGGCUGUUAGUGUAAUUGGGAAAGUAGUUCGGGUUUAGUGCUCCAUAUCGUGUUAGCAUGGUGAGAUGGUGUAGAUGGUUGCGGUGGCUCUGUGGGCAUUUUAUCCGCGAUUCUGCACGCCUCCGUUUGAAGAGGGAGGCUGUGCCCACCGUGGCUCUUCCGCGAUUUAGAUGCAGCCCACCGACUCUGCUCCCCCACCACGGCGGGCUCCAUGAGGUGAGUCAGCUAAAUAAAGUUUUAACAUCUUCUAAAGACAAUGCCCUACCUAAAUGCAAAGUCCGAGAGACGUGGUUCACUUCAUUUAGCUAGUCAGUCGGUAAUUCUGCAACAGUGUCUCUAACUAAUGCAGCACUAGUUGACAGACAGCAUUACAGCGUGAAAUCCAGCUUGUGACCUGGUUUUGUGAGGAAUUCUGUUCAGGAGGUCGCAGUUCAGGCUCUCCACAUCAUAUGUGACUGACUUUUACGUUAUAACAACGAUCACACACUAGGACUGUUAUAAAGCGCCUAUACAGGAGUUUCUUGUGUAUAUUAUCUGACUUUAUAAACUCCAACAACAAUGUGCUUCUACUUUUUUUCAGGCUAAAUCUACCCAAGACACUGGCUGUCCGACUGAUUUAGUAGUCUGCAAGAAUGCACUUGUCCAGGCUGACAUGAAGCUUUACCGGCGUAGCAAAGGUGAAUUAUUUUUAAUAAUCUUCUAUGUAAACAUUUUAUUAUUACCUUCUAGUUUUAAUUUGUUUUACAGAUUAUUGUUACACGUGAUUUUAUGCUCUUUUAAACAUUUAUAAAUGUGCUGCUUCUUUGUUUUUGUACAUAGCCAGCCAGAAGAGCUCACAGCUGCUGUGUGUCUGGUGACACAGGGACCAUGACAGAAAUUCAUCUUCCAGAAAGUCCCAGAGCAGCGUCCACACCCCCUGAAAAGACCAAGAUGUAAGGUGUCUGCUGUUGAUUCCAGCUUCCACCUCAGUGACAGUGCAAGCUCAGUGAACUGUUCAAGGAGGCUACUGAUUCUGCCCCUGUGACACUUGGUGGUGACGUGUGAGCUGAUUCACCUGGACACUCAGCAAAAUAUGGACUCUACACCAUGAGGCAGGCACACGUUAAUACUUAUAAGAGCACAUAAGGUGAGCAACACCACAUAUUAUUGUACACUGUCCUGGAUUUGUUUUCUUUCUGCAUCUCAUCAUUAGCCUGGCUGAUCACCUGAUAACUCCUGUCAUCUGGUUGUGACAGCAUGAGGAUGUCCUCACACACCUGUAACCUAUCAGCUCAUCUGGCACAAUAGAGAGAGAAGAGACAACACCACAUCUCCUGUUCCUGGAAAGCCUUCAGCCAUCCUUCGAUGACUGAGAACCUCCAUCAGCUCUGUCUCCUGUCUGCCCACAAUUAUUAUAAUAAAUAUUGUGUUUGACAAGUUU
Nothobranchius furzeri (turquoise killifish) is the source of this 4526-nucleotide non-coding RNA. The record is from RefSeq and is a predicted model, not a curated record. Lineage: Eukaryota; Metazoa; Chordata; Actinopteri; Cyprinodontiformes; Nothobranchiidae.